This 588-nucleotide ribosomal RNA is filed under the name uncultured bacterium. RNAcentral's name for it is "bacterial SSU rRNA". It matches the Rfam family "Bacterial small subunit ribosomal RNA", at positions 338 to 916 of the family's 1533-position model. The record is from RNAcentral.
CCUACGGGAGGCAGCAGUGGGGAAUUGUUCGCAAUGGGCGCAAGCCUGACGACGCAACGCCGCGUGGGGGAUGAAGGUCUUCGGAUUGUAAACCCUUGUCGAGCGGGACGAAUGGCCCGCGACCUAAUACGUCGUGGGAGUGACGGUACCGCUAAAGGAAGCCACGGCUAACUCUGUGCCAGCAGCCGCGGUAAUACAGAGGUGGCAAGCGUUGUUCGGAAUUACUGGGCGUAAAGGGCGCGUAGGCGGCCUUCUAAGUCAGACGUGAAAUCCCCCGGCUUAACCUGGGAACUGCGUCUGAUACUGGAAGGCUUGAGUGCGGGAGAGGGAUGUGGAAUUCCAGGUGUAGCGGUGAAAUGCGUAGAUAUCUGGAGGAACACCGGUGGCGAAGGCGGCAUCCUGGACCGACACUGACGCUGAGGCGCGAAAGCUAGGGUAGCAAACGGGAUUAGAUACCCCGGUAGUCCUAGCCCUAAACGAUGAGUGCUUGGUGUGGCGGGUAUCGAUCCCUGCCGUGCCGAAGCUAACGCAUUAAGCACUCCGCCUGGGGAGUACGGUCGCAAGGCUGAAACUUAAAGGAAUUGACGG